Molecule: ribosomal RNA, 523 nt
Filed under: Boana raniceps (Chaco treefrog)
Lineage: Eukaryota; Metazoa; Chordata; Amphibia; Anura; Hylidae
Description: Hypsiboas raniceps (Chaco treefrog) partial 16S ribosomal RNA
Rfam family: Bacterial large subunit ribosomal RNA
Source: RNAcentral
GUUCAACGGCCGCGGUAUCCUAACCGUGCGAAGGUAGCGUAAUCACUUGUUCUUUAAAUGAGGACUAGUAUGAAUGGCACCACGAGGGUUAAACUGUCUCCUUUUUUUAAUCAGUGAAACUAAUCUCCCCGUGAAGAAGCGGGGAUUCUUUUAUAAGACGAGAAGACCCUAUGGAGCUUUAAACAAGUUAACACCUGCUACUAAUCUUCACUUUCCUGAACUACCACAUUAAGUAUAGCACCCCUGAUUAACAGUUUUCGAUUGGGGUGAUCAUGGAGCAAAAAUCAACCUCCACGACGAAAAGGAACACCUCCUUGAGCCAAAAGCUACAACUUUAAGCACUAAAAAACUAACGCACUUUGACCCAAUUCUUUGAGCAACGAACCAAGUUACCCUAGGGAUAACAGCGCAAUCCACUUUAAGAGCUCCUAUCGACAAGUGGGUUUACGACCUCGAUGUUGGAUCAGGGUAUCCCAGUGGUGCAGCCGCUACUAAAGGUUCGUUUGUUCAACGAUUAAAACCC